UACUCCUACGGGAGGCAGCAGUGGGGAGUAUUGCACAAUGGGGGAAACCCUGAUGCAGCGACGCCGCGUGAGCGAUGAAGCCCUUCGGGGUGUAAAGCUCUUUCGGCAGGGACGAUUAUGACGGUACCUGGAGAAGAAGCUGCGGCUAACUACGUG
Molecule: ribosomal RNA, 156 nt
Filed under: uncultured bacterium gp3
Lineage: Bacteria
Description: partial 16S ribosomal RNA
Rfam family: Bacterial small subunit ribosomal RNA
Source: RNAcentral